This 71-nucleotide transfer RNA is filed under the name Saccharomyces cerevisiae (brewer's yeast). It matches the Rfam family "tRNA". Rfam says of the family: Transfer RNA (tRNA) molecules are approximately 80 nucleotides in length. Their secondary structure includes four short double-helical elements and three loops (D, anti-codon, and T loops). Lineage: Eukaryota; Fungi; Ascomycota; Saccharomycetes; Saccharomycetales; Saccharomycetaceae. The record is from RNAcentral.
GCGCAAGUGGUUUAGUGGUAAAAUCCAACGUUGCCAUCGUUGGGCCCCCGGUUCGAUUCCGGGCUUGCGAA